CAGGCGCAGAGAUGUGCUCUCCUUCGGGCAAUGGAUACAGGUGGUGCAUGGUUGUCGUCAGCUCGUGCCGUGAGGUGUUGGGUUAAGUCCCGCAACGAGACGCAACCCUCAUUGUUAGUUACUACCAUUCAGUUGAGGACUCUAAUGAGACUGCCAACGAUAAAGUUGGAGGAAGGUGGGGAUGACGUCAAAUCAUCAUGCCCUUUAUGACCUGGGCUACAAACGUACUACAAUGGCCAAUACAAAGAGAUGCGAAGCGGUGACGUGGAGCGAACCUCAGAAAGUUGGUCUCAGUUCAGAUUGAAGUCUGCAACUCGACUUCAUGAAGGCGGAAUCGCUAGUAAUCGCGGGUCAGCAGACCGCGGUGAAUACGUUCCCGGGUUU
RNAcentral lists this ribosomal RNA (384 nucleotides) under uncultured Mollicutes bacterium. RNAcentral describes it as "bacterial SSU rRNA". It matches the Rfam family "Bacterial small subunit ribosomal RNA", at positions 995 to 1381 of the family's 1533-position model. The record is from RNAcentral. Lineage: Bacteria; Bacillati; Mycoplasmatota; Mollicutes.